Molecule: long non-coding RNA, 101 nt
Organism: Sapajus apella (tufted capuchin)
Lineage: Eukaryota; Metazoa; Chordata; Mammalia; Primates; Cebidae
Exons: 3
Source: RefSeq, a predicted model, not a curated record
CAAAUCAUAACUACAGUGAGAUACCACUCACACCUAUUAGGAGGCUGCUAUGAAAUGUUGGUGGGGAUAUGGAGCAACCGGAGCCCUUGUGCGAUGAUCAG